Molecule: ribosomal RNA, 638 nt
Filed under: Escherichia coli
Lineage: Bacteria; Pseudomonadati; Pseudomonadota; Gammaproteobacteria; Enterobacterales; Enterobacteriaceae
Description: partial 23S ribosomal RNA
Rfam family: Bacterial large subunit ribosomal RNA
Source: RNAcentral
CUCCUCCUAAAGAGUAACGGAGGAGCACGAAGGUUGGCUAAUCCUGGUCGGACAUCAGGAGGUUAGUGCAAUGGCAUAAGCCAGCUUGACUGCGAGCGUGACGGCGCGAGCAGGUGCGAAAGCAGGUCAUAGUGAUCCGGUGGUUCUGAAUGGAAGGGCCAUCGCUCAACGGAUAAAAGGUACUCCGGGGAUAACAGGCUGAUACCGCCCAAGAGUUCAUAUCGACGGCGGUGUUUGGCACCUCGAUGUCGGCUCAUCACAUCCUGGGGCUGAAGUAGGUCCCAAGGGUAUGGCUGUUCGCCAUUUAAAGUGGUACGCGAGCUGGGUUUAGAACGUCGUGAGACAGUUCGGUCCCUAUCUGCCGUGGGCGCUGGAGAACUGAGGGGGGCUGCUCCUAGUACGAGAGGACCGGAGUGGACGCAUCACUGGUGUUCGGGUUGUCAUGCCAAUGGCACUGCCCGGUAGCUAAAUGCGGAAGAGAUAAGUGCUGAAAGCAUCUAAGCACGAAACUUGCCCCGAGAUGAGUUCUCCCUGACUCCUUGAGAGUCCUGAAGGAACGUUGAAGACGACGACGUUGAUAGGCCGGGUGUGUAAGCGCAGCGAUGCGUUGAGCUAACCGGUACUAAUGAACCGUGAGG